GACGAACGCUGGCGGCGUGCCUAAUACAUGCGAGUAGAACGCUGAAGGAGGAGCUUGCUUCUCUGGAUGAGUUGCGAACGGGUGAGUAACGCGUAGGUAACCUGCCUGGUAGCGGGGGAUAACUAUUGGAAACGAUAGCUAAUACCGCAUAAUAGUAGAUGUUGCAUGACAUUUGCCUAAAAGGUGCAAUUGCAUCACUACUAGAUGGACCUGCGUUGUUUUAGCUUGUUGGUGGGGUAACGGCUCACGAAGGCGACGAUACAUGACCGCCCGGAGAGGGGGGUCGGCCACCCUGGGACUGUGACACGGCCCAGUGUCCUUCGGGUGGCGGCGGUAGGGAAUCUUCGGCAAUGGGCGGAAGUCUGACCGAGCAACGCCGCGUGAGUGAACAAGGUUUUCGGGUCGUAAAGCUCUGUUGUAAGGGAAGAACGAGUGUGAGAGUGGAAAGUUCACACUGUGACGGUAUCUGACCAGAAAGGGACGGCUAACUACGUG
This 495-nucleotide ribosomal RNA is filed under the name uncultured bacterium. RNAcentral describes it as "partial 16S ribosomal RNA". It matches the Rfam family "Bacterial small subunit ribosomal RNA", at positions 28 to 507 of the family's 1533-position model. The record is from RNAcentral.